ACGGGAGGCAGCAGUGGGGAAUAUUGGGCAAUGGGGGAAACCCUGACCCAGCAACGCCGCGUGAAGGAAGAGGGCCUUCGGGUUGUAAACUUCUUUUACCAGGGACGAAGAAUGACGGUACCUGGAGAAAAAGCAACGGCUAACUACGUGCCAGCAGCCGCGGUAAUACGUAGGUUGCAAGCGUUGUCCGGAUUUACUGGGUGUAAAGGGCGUGUAGGCGGAGCUGCAAGUCAGAUGUGAAAUCCCGGGGCUUAAACCCGGAACUGCAUUUGAAACUGUAGCGCUUGAGUAUCGGAGAGGCAAGCGGAAUUCCUAGUGUAGCGGUGAAAUGCGUAGAUAUUAGGAGGAGCACCGGUGGCGAAGGCGGCUUGCUGGGCGACAAUUGACGCUGAGGCGCGAAAGCGUGGGGAGCGAACAGGAUUAGAUACCCUGGUA
Molecule: ribosomal RNA, 435 nt
Filed under: uncultured Clostridium sp.
Lineage: Bacteria; Bacillati; Bacillota; Clostridia; Eubacteriales; Clostridiaceae
Description: partial 16S ribosomal RNA
Rfam family: Bacterial small subunit ribosomal RNA
Source: RNAcentral